Molecule: unclassified non-coding RNA, 206 nt
Filed under: rhizosphere metagenome
Description: partial ribosomal RNA internal transcribed spacer region
Source: RNAcentral
GAGUUAGGGUCCUAGUGGCCCAACCUCCAACCCUCUGUUGUUAAAACUACCUUGUUGCUUUGGCGGGACCGUUCGGUCUCCGAGCGCGUUAACCUUCGGGUUGGCGAGCGCCCGCCAGAGUCCAACCAAACUCUUGUAUUAAACCAGUCGUCUGAGUAUAAAAUUUUAAUUAAAUUAAAACUUUCAACAACGGAUCUCUUGGUUCU